This 508-nucleotide ribosomal RNA is filed under the name uncultured bacterium. RNAcentral's name for it is "bacterial SSU rRNA". It matches the Rfam family "Bacterial small subunit ribosomal RNA", at positions 278 to 803 of the family's 1533-position model. The record is from RNAcentral.
GAUCCAUAGCCGACCUGAGAGGGUGACCGGCCACAUUGGGACUGAGACACGGCCCAAACUCCUACGGGAGGCAGCAGUGGGGAAUAUUGCACAAUGGGCGAAAGCCUGAUGCAGCGACGCCGCGUGAGCGAAGAAGUAUUUCGGUAUGUAAAGCUCUAUCAGCAGGGAAGAUAAUGACGGUACCUGACUAAGAAGCACCGGCUAAAUACGUGCCAGCAGCCGCGGUAAUACGUAUGGUGCAAGCGUUAUCCGGAUUUACUGGGUGUAAAGGGAGCGCAGGCGGUGCGGCAAGUCUGAUGUGAAAGCCCGGGGCUCAACCCCGGUACUGCAUUGGAAACUGUCGUACUAGAGUGUCGGAGGGGUAAGCGGAAUUCCUAGUGUAGCGGUGAAAUGCGUAGAUAUUAGGAGGAACACCAGUGGCGAAGGCGGCUUACUGGACGAUAACUGACGCUGAGGCUCGAAAGCGUGGGGAACAAACAGGAUUAGAUACCCUGGUAGUCCACGCCGU